Molecule: ribosomal RNA, 468 nt
Filed under: uncultured bacterium
Lineage: Bacteria
Description: partial 16S ribosomal RNA
Rfam family: Bacterial small subunit ribosomal RNA
Source: RNAcentral
GACGAACGCUGGCGGCGUGCUUAACACAUGCAAGUCGAACGGAAAGGCCCUGCUUUUGUGGGGUGCUCGAGUGGCGAACGGGUGAGUAACACGUGAGUAACCUGCCCUUGACUUUGGGAUAACUUCAGGAAACUGGGGCUAAUACCGGAUAGGAGCUCCUGCUGCAUGGUGGGGGUUGGAAAGUUUCGGCGGUUGGGGAUGGACUCGCGGCUUAUCAGCUUGUUGGUGGGGGAGUGGCUUACCAAGGCUUUGACGGGUAGCCGGCCGGGGAGGGUGACCGGCCACAUUGGACCUGAGAUAGGGCCCAGACUCCUACGGGAGGCAGCAGUGGGGAAUAUUGCAAACGGGGCGGAAGCCUGAUGCAGCAACGCCGGGUGGGGGAUGACGGCCUUCGGGUUGUAAACCGCUUCCGCCUGUGACGAAGCGUGAGUGACGGUAAUGGGUAAAGAAGCACCGGCUAACUACGUG